GAUGAAGAACGUAGCGAAAUGCGAUAAGUAAUGUGAAUUGCAGAAUUCAGUGAAUCAUCGAAUCUUUGAACGCACAUUGCGCCCGCCAGCACUCUGGCGGGCAUGCCUGUCCGAGCGUCAUUUCAACCCUCGCGCCGUCCCUCCAGGGGGCUCGGCGCGGUGUUGGGGGACACGGCCCCGACCGCCCCCGAAAUGCAGUGGCGACCCCGCCGCGGCCCCUCCAGCGCAGUAAGCACGCUCGCUACGGGAGGCCCGGUGGACGCGUCCGCCGUAAAACGCCCAACUCUUCAGAAGUUGACCUCGGAUCAGGUAGGGAUACCCGCUGAACUUAAGCAUAUCAAUAAGCGGAGGA
Molecule: unclassified non-coding RNA, 352 nt
Filed under: soil metagenome
Description: partial contains 5.8S ribosomal RNA, internal transcribed spacer 2, and large subunit ribosomal RNA
Rfam family: 5.8S ribosomal RNA (bases 1-120)
Source: RNAcentral